Rosa chinensis is the source of this 1269-nucleotide long non-coding RNA. RefSeq lists it as uncharacterized. The transcript is spliced from 4 exons. Lineage: Eukaryota; Viridiplantae; Streptophyta; Magnoliopsida; Rosales; Rosaceae. The record is from RefSeq and is a predicted model, not a curated record.
GAUCCUUCGUCAUUGCCUCGAGCUAGCAGAGAUCGUGUUGGAGAUGGAAGCCAAUUCUUACAAUUCGUCUUGGAGAGGGAAACUUGAAGCUUGGCUCUGCAUAAAUAGCGGGUUGCAUGCCUGUGAUGCUAUAGUCACGAACUGGGUUCAAUUCCCCAUUACGGCACUCGAUCGAUUAGUUGGUGAACAAGAACGAAAAGUUGCUGCAACUUUUCUACUGGUACGACUCUUCUGCGAAUGCCACGAUCCAUCAAAUAUUCUUUUAAAACCACCGCUUCAAACUUGGAAUCAAGUAUUAUGUUUGCCACCGAUUUAAUUGCAUAAUUCGUCCCUUUUCAAAGGCCCUGGAAAUUGGCUCCCAUCAUUUCGUCGUUUAGAAUAAAGACUUGCAGUAUGUUAUGAAGAGCCUAUAUUUGAAGCCCUUUGUCAUUGUCUGCAGGUUCUGGACAUUCCUCCAUAAUUAAAGUUCCAGAAAGAUGCAGGGAAGAAAUAUUAAGGGUGAGGCCCUGUGCUACUUUGUUUCACAUUUUGGUUGUGGUAGUUUAGGCUAUGUAUUUCUUUUUGGAGGUGGUGGUGGAUGAAAAGCAGAAGUAGGGGAGCUCUCUUAUGCGAUCAGUAUUGCCAAAUUUAAAGGAGGUGAAUAUGGCGUCUUGUGGUGGAAGGAGAAAAACAAGGCAGGAAGCGUUUUUAUGUAUUUCUGAGUUUGAAGGCAGUGGAUGUAUUGCAUAGGUUGUGAUAUCAGAACCCGGCCGUUCAUGAACUACCAUAUGUUCCAAUAUUUAAAACCCCAGCAGCCGUGUUGCAUUAAGACGUCGGCCGUUCAUGAACGACCAUGUUAGUCUUAAUUCAAGAGAAGAUUGCUCGGCCGUUCUUGAACGACCAUGGUUGUCUCAAAAGGGUAUUGGUUGUUCAUGAACAGCCCCCUUUGGUUGAAAUAAACCGGUUAAUUCUCUGCCAAAGAAGACAAGAACAACAUGAUGCAGCGUAUACCUGAACGUCUCCUUUUCGAGCUGCUUUGAUUUUGCCCUCUGUUUCGGCAGAGCCUUGGCCUCUUUCUUGCUGAUUUUUCUUCUCCUUCUCUCCGUGUUUCUCUUCACCGUUGCCACCUUUAUAUAAGGGUGGUUGGAUAAGUGUAUGUUGGAUAGCUGAUAACCAUUUUGAAUAACAAGUCUAUCCUUAUCACUCCUCAUGUAUAUUUGAAUUGGUCAACAACUUGACCGAGACUUGAAUCAAGGCUAACAGAACAUUAUCUCCUCUAACUUGACGUUA